This 752-nucleotide ribosomal RNA is filed under the name uncultured archaeon. RNAcentral's name for it is "bacterial SSU rRNA". It matches the Rfam family "Archaeal small subunit ribosomal RNA", at positions 52 to 789 of the family's 1478-position model. The record is from RNAcentral.
UGUGCGUCUCUAGCUAUGUUGAGACGCGGCAUACGGCUCACUAACGCGUGGCUAACCUGCCCUCACGACGAGGACAAACCCGGGAAACUGGGGCUAAUACUCGAUAGGUGAGGUUGCCUGGAAUGGUUUCUCACCCAAAGGGCUUGGAAACAUGCUUCCAAGUCCCCUGGGGAUGGGGUCGCGCCCGAUCAGGUUGUUGGUGAGGUAACGGCUCACCAAGCCUAUAACCGGUACGGGCCGUGAGAGCGGUAGCCCGGAGAUGGGUACUGAGACAAGGACCCAGGCCCUACGGGGCGCAGCAGUCGCGAAAACUCCGCAAUGCACGAAAGUGUGACGGGGCUACCCCGAGUGCCGUCCGCUGAGGAUGGCUUUUCUUUGGUUUAACUAGCCAGGGGAAUAAGGAGAGGGCAAGACUGGUGUCAGCCGCCGCGGUAAUACCAGCUCUCCGAGUGGUAGGGAUGAUUAUUGGGCUUAAAGCGUCCGUAGCCGGCUUAGCAAGUCUCCUGUUAAACUCAGCGACUCAAUCGUUGAAUUGCGGGAGAUACUACUGGGCUAGGAGGCGGGAGAGGUCGACGGUACUUCUGGGGUAGGGGUGAAAUCCUAUAAUCCCAGGAGGACCGCCAGUGGCGAAGGCUGUCGACUAGAACGCGCUCGACGGUGAGGGACGAAAGCUGGGGGAGCGAACCCGGAUUAGAUACCCGGGUAGUCCCAGCUGUAAAACUAUGCGGGCUAGGUGUUGGGGUGGCUACGGG